RNAcentral lists this ribosomal RNA (465 nucleotides) under Vreelandella stevensii. Its description in RNAcentral is "partial 16S ribosomal RNA". It matches the Rfam family "Bacterial small subunit ribosomal RNA", at positions 338 to 795 of the family's 1533-position model. Lineage: Bacteria; Pseudomonadati; Pseudomonadota; Gammaproteobacteria; Oceanospirillales; Halomonadaceae. The record is from RNAcentral.
CCUACGUGCGGCAACAGUGGGGAAUAUUGGACAAUGGGCGAAAGCCUGAUCCAGCCAUGCCGCGUGUGUGAAGAAGGCCUUCGGGUUGUAAAGCACUUUCAGUGGGGAAGAAAGCCUUGGGGCUAAUACCCUCGAGGAAGGACAUCACCCACAGAAGAAGCACCGGCUAACUCCGUGCCAGCAGCCGCGGUAAUACGGAGGGUGCGAGCGUUAAUCGGAAUUACUGGGCGUAAAGCGCGCGUAGGCGGUCUGAUAAGCCGGUUGUGAAAGCCCCGGGCUCAACCUGGGAACGGCAUCCGGAACUGUCAGGCUAGAGUGCAGGAGAGGAAGGUAGAAUUCCCGGUGUAGCGGUGAAAUGCGUAGAGAUCGGGAGGAAUACCAGUGGCGAAGGCGGCCUUCUGGACUGACACUGACGCUGAGGUGCGAAAGCGUGGGUAGCAAACAGGAUUAGAUACCCUAGUAGUC